UACAGAGGUCCCAAGCGUUGUUCGGAUUCAUUGGGCGUAAAGGGUGCGUAGGUGGCGUCGUAAGUCGGGUGUGAAAUCUCGGGGCUUAACUCCGAAACUGCAUUCGAUACUGCGGUGCUUGAGGACUGGAGAGGAGACUGGAAUUCAUGGUGUAGCAGUGAAAUGCGUAGAGAUCAUGAGGAAGACCAGUGGCGAAGGCGGGUCUCUGGACAGUUCCUGACACUGAGACACGAAGGCCAGGGGAGCAAACGGG
Molecule: ribosomal RNA, 253 nt
Filed under: uncultured bacterium
Lineage: Bacteria
Description: partial 16S ribosomal RNA
Rfam family: Bacterial small subunit ribosomal RNA
Source: RNAcentral